CCCUUAGAUGUUCUGGGCCGCCCGCGCGCUACACUGAUGCAUUCAACGAGUCUAAAACCUGCUCUGAUAGGGGUGGGUAAUCUUUUGAAUGUGCAUCGUGAUUGGGAUAGAUGAUUGCAAUUUUUCAUCUUCAACGAGGAAUGCCUAGUAAACGCAAGUCAUCAGCUUGCAUUGAUUACGUCCCUGCCCUUUGUACACACCGCCCGUCGCUCCUACCGAUUGAAUGAUCCGAUGAAUAUCAUGGAUUGAGGAUGCAAGCAGGUUCGCCUGUCUUCAUCUUCGAGAAGUGAAGUAAAUCUUAUCAUUUAGAGGAAGGAGAAGUCGUAACA
This 329-nucleotide ribosomal RNA is filed under the name uncultured eukaryote. Its description in RNAcentral is "partial 18S ribosomal RNA". It matches the Rfam family "Eukaryotic small subunit ribosomal RNA", at positions 1470 to 1796 of the family's 1831-position model. The record is from RNAcentral.